CCUACGGGGGGCUGCAGUGGGGAAUAUUGCACAAUGGGCGAAAGCCUGAUGCAGCAACGCCGCGUGAGUGAUGAAGGCCUUCGGGUUGUAAAGCUCUGUCUUCUGGGACGAUAAUGACGGUACCAGAGGAGGAAGCCACGGCUAACUACGUGCCAGCAGCCGCGGUAAUACGUAGGUGGCAAGCGUUGUCCGGAUUUACUGGGCGUAAAGGAUGCGUAGGCGGAUGCUUAAGUCAGAUGUGAAAAUCCCGGGCUUAACUUGGGAACUGCAUUUGAAACUGGGGAUCUAGAGUGCAGGAGAGGAAAGCGGAAUUCCUAGUGUAGCGGUGAAAUGCGUAGAGAUUAGGAAGAACACCAGUGGCGAAGGCGGCUUUCUGGACUGUAACUGACGCUGAGGCAUGAAAGCGUGGGGAGCAAACAGGAUUAGAUACCCCUGUAGUCAA
Molecule: ribosomal RNA, 442 nt
Filed under: uncultured Clostridium sp.
Lineage: Bacteria; Bacillati; Bacillota; Clostridia; Eubacteriales; Clostridiaceae
Description: bacterial SSU rRNA
Rfam family: Bacterial small subunit ribosomal RNA
Source: RNAcentral